Molecule: ribosomal RNA, 517 nt
Filed under: uncultured bacterium
Lineage: Bacteria
Description: bacterial SSU rRNA
Rfam family: Bacterial small subunit ribosomal RNA
Source: RNAcentral
ACGAACGCUGGCGGCGUGCCUAAUACAUGCAAGUCGAACGGCUUUUCUAUGGAAGCUUGCUUCCACUGAGAAGAUAGUGGCGAACGGGUGAGUAACACGUGGGUAACCUGCCCAUAAGAGGGGGGAUAACAUCCGGAAACGGGUGCUAAUACCGCAUAGUUUUCUUGAUUGCAUGAUUGAGAAAGGAAAGACGGCCUUUGUGCUGUCGCUUAUGGAUGGACCCGCGGCGUAUUAGUUAGUUGGUGAGGUAACGGCUCACCAAGACGAUGAUACGUAGCCGACCUGAGAGGGUGAUCGGCCACAUUGGGACUGAGACACGGCCCAAACUCCUACGGGAGGCAGCAGUAGGGAAUCUUCCGCAAUGGACGAAAGUCUGACGGAGCAACGCCGCGUGAGUGAAGAAAGGUUUUCGGAUCGUAAAACUCUGUUGUCAGAGAAGAACAAGUUGGAGAGUAACUGCUCCAGCCUUGACGGUAUCUGACCAGAAAGCCACGGCUAACUACGUGCCAGCCGCAGC